UCCAGACUCCUACGGGAGGCAGCAGUGGGGAAUAUUGCACAAUGGGGGAAACCCUGAUGCAGCGACGCCGCGUGAGUGAGGAAGUAUUUCGGUAUGUAAAGCUCUAUCAGCAGGGAAGAAAAUGACGGUACCUGACUAAGAAGCCCCGGCUAACUACGUGCCAGCAGCCGCGGUAAUACGUAGGGGGCAAGCGUUAUCCGGAUUUACUGGGUGUAAAGGGAGCGUAGACGGAUAAGCAAGUCUGAUGUGAAAAUCCGGGGCCCAACCCCGGAAUUGCAUUGGAAACUGCAUAUCUAGAGUGUCGGAGAGGCAGGCGGAAUUCCUAGUGUAGCGGUGAAAUGCGUAGAUAUAAGGAAGAACACCAGUGGCGAAGGCGGAUUACUGGACGAUAACUGACGGUGAGGCGCGAAAGCGUGGGGAGCAAACAGGAUUAGAUACCCGUGUACG
This 447-nucleotide ribosomal RNA is filed under the name uncultured bacterium. RNAcentral describes it as "bacterial SSU rRNA". It matches the Rfam family "Bacterial small subunit ribosomal RNA", at positions 330 to 793 of the family's 1533-position model. The record is from RNAcentral.